GCACCCGUAGCUCAAUAGGACAGAGCUCCAGAUUGCUACUCCGGGGGUUGCAGGUUCGAAUCCUGCCGGGUGCA
Molecule: transfer RNA, 74 nt
Filed under: Mesorhizobium sp.
Lineage: Bacteria; Pseudomonadati; Pseudomonadota; Alphaproteobacteria; Hyphomicrobiales; Phyllobacteriaceae
Description: tRNA-Ser
Rfam family: tRNA
About the family: Transfer RNA (tRNA) molecules are approximately 80 nucleotides in length. Their secondary structure includes four short double-helical elements and three loops (D, anti-codon, and T loops).
Source: RNAcentral